GGCUCGGUGGUGUAGUUGGUUAUCACGUCAGUCUAACAUCUGUUAGUUCACUGAAGGUCCCGAGUUCAAACCUCGGCUGAGUCA
Molecule: transfer RNA, 84 nt
Filed under: Corynespora cassiicola Philippines
Lineage: Eukaryota; Fungi; Ascomycota; Dothideomycetes; Pleosporales; Corynesporascaceae
Description: tRNA-Val
Source: RNAcentral